Molecule: ribosomal RNA, 495 nt
Filed under: Lactococcus lactis subsp. lactis
Lineage: Bacteria; Bacillati; Bacillota; Bacilli; Lactobacillales; Streptococcaceae
Description: partial 16S ribosomal RNA
Rfam family: Bacterial small subunit ribosomal RNA
Source: RNAcentral
AUGCCGCGUGAGUNNAGAAGGUUUUCGGAUCGUAAAACUCUGUUGGUAGAGAAAAACGUUGGUGAGAGUGGAAAGCUCAUCAANNNNCGGNNACUACCCAGAAAGGGACGGCCAACUACGUGCCAGCACCCGCGGNNNUACGUAGGUCCCGAGCGUUGUCCGGAUUUAUUGGGCGUAAAGCGAGGGCAGGUGGUUUAUAAAGUCUGGUGUAAAAGGCAGCGGCUCAACCAUUGUAUGAAUUGGAAACUGGUAGACUUGAGUGCAGGAGAGGAGAGUGGAAUUCCAUGUGUAGCGGUGAAAUGCGUAGAUAUAUGGUGGAACACCGGUGGCGAAAGCGGCUCUCUGGCCUGUAANNNNCANNGAGGCUCGAAAGCGUGGGGAGCAAACAGGCUUAGAUACCCUGGUAGUCCACGCCGUAAACGNNNNGUGCUAGAUGUAGGGAGCUAUAAGUUCUCUGUAUCGCAGCUAACGCAAUANAGCACUCCGCCUGGGUAG